GACGAACGCUGGCGGCGUGCUUAACACAUGCAAGUCGAACGGAAAGGCCCUGCUUUUGUGGGGUGCUCAAGCGGCGAAAGGGUGAGUAACACGUGAGUAACCUGCCCUUGACUUUGGGAUAACUUCAGGAAACUGGGGCUAAUACCGGAUAGGAGCUCCUACUGCAUGGUGGGGGUUGGAAAGUUUCGGCGGUUGGGGAUGGACUCGCGGCUUAUCAUCUUGUUGGUGGGGAAGUGGCUUACCAAGGCUUUGACGGGUAGCCGGCCUGAGAGGGUGACCGGCCACAGUGGGACUGAGAUACGGGCCAGACUCAUACGGGAGGAAGCAGUGGGGAAUAUAGCACAAUGGGCGGAAGGCGGAAGCAGCAACGCCGCGUGCGGGAUGACUGCCUUCGGGUUGGAACCCGCGUGCGCCUGUGACGAAGAGUGAGUGACGGUAAUGGGUAAAGAAGCACCGGCUAACUACGUG
This 468-nucleotide ribosomal RNA is filed under the name uncultured bacterium. RNAcentral's name for it is "partial 16S ribosomal RNA". It matches the Rfam family "Bacterial small subunit ribosomal RNA", at positions 28 to 507 of the family's 1533-position model. The record is from RNAcentral.